CUGGUCUUGACAUCCCGGUGACGCAUAAGUAAAGUUAUGUUUCCCUCGGGACACCGGAGACAGGUGGUGCAUGGUUGUCGUCAGCUCGUGUCGUGAGAUGUUGGGUUAAGUCCCGCAACGAGCGCAACCCCUGUUUCCAGUAGCCAGCAUUUAAGGUGGGCACUCUGGAGAGACUGCCUGGGACAACCAGGAGGAAGGCGGGGAUGACGUCAAAUCAUCAUGCCCCUUAUGAUCAGGGCUACACACGUGCUACAAUGGCGUAAACAAAGGGAGGCGAGACGGUGACGUUGAGCAAAUCCCAUAAAUAACGUCCCAGUUCGGAUUGUAGUCUGCAACCCGACUACAUGAAGCUGGAAUCGCUAGUAAUCGCGAAUCAGAAUGUCGCGGUGAAUACGUUCCC
RNAcentral lists this ribosomal RNA (400 nucleotides) under uncultured bacterium. RNAcentral's name for it is "bacterial SSU rRNA". It matches the Rfam family "Bacterial small subunit ribosomal RNA", at positions 975 to 1375 of the family's 1533-position model. The record is from RNAcentral.